Molecule: long non-coding RNA, 412 nt
Organism: Lutra lutra (Eurasian river otter)
Lineage: Eukaryota; Metazoa; Chordata; Mammalia; Carnivora; Mustelidae
Exons: 4
Source: RefSeq, a predicted model, not a curated record
CUCACAAAGCAGUGGGGUACUGCUCCUGACGGACUGGGCGAGAAUGAGUCCUGUUGAAAUUAGAGGAAGCUAUGUGGAAACUGGGCAUGAUUGGCUAGGAGGUCGGGGAUUUCCUUACAAGAAUGAAGACAUCUCCUUCGAGGUCACUUCCUAGAUCUUCCUUUUUGAACAGAAUAGCCCAGAAGCAGUGAAGGCUUCAGGAUUGACCAUCCAGACGGAUGACAUCCAUCAUGUCAGGACAUGAUGAUCAAACCAUGUAAUGGGGACAUCAUCUUUCUCCAGAAAAGGGCUCUGUUGCUAAAAAUUACUUUGGAGAAUCUUUAACCUCGGCCAGCUUCUCACAUUACCCAAGACAAAGAUAAAACCAACAAGACUGAUUAUUCACCAUUCUACAGCAAGGCAGUGCAUCCAG